AUUGAACGCUGGCGGCAGGCCUAACACAUGCAAGUCGAGCGGACGAAGGGAGCUUGCUCCUGGAUUCAGCGGCGGACGGGUGAGUAAUGCCUAGGAAUCUGCCUGGUAGUGGGGGAUAACGUCCAGAAACGGGCGCUAAUACCGCAUACGUCCUGAGGGAGAAAGUGGGGGAUCUUCGGACCUCACGCUAUCAGAUGAGCCUAGGUCGGAUUAGCUAGUUGGUGGGGUAAAGGCCUACCAAGGCGACGAUCCGUAACUGGUCUGAGAGGAUGAUCAGUCACACUGGAACUGAGACACGGUCCAGACUCCUACGGGAGGCAGCAGUGGGGAAUAUUGGACAAUGGGCGAAAGCCUGAUCCAGCCAUGCCGCGUGUGUGAAGAAGGUCUUCGGAUUGUAAAGCACUUUAAGUUGGGAGGAAGGGCAGUAAGUUAAUACCUUGCUGUUUUGACGUUACCAACAGAAUAAGCACCGGCUAACUUCGUG
This 484-nucleotide ribosomal RNA is filed under the name uncultured bacterium. RNAcentral's name for it is "partial 16S ribosomal RNA". It matches the Rfam family "Bacterial small subunit ribosomal RNA", at positions 30 to 507 of the family's 1533-position model. The record is from RNAcentral.